UCUAUUUUUACUAAAGGAUUUCAAAACAAUCCUUCCAAGAACUCCAGAGUUUCAAAUUUAGCAUGCUGGUCAUUUGAGACAAUUUUAAUAUUAGCUCACAGUGUAUACCUUUGUGCCAAAAGAUAAUUUUAUUUCCGUUGAAAUCCAGUGUUUAAAAACCACAAGGCAAAUCGUUUACUCACAACACAUAUAUGUUAAUGAUACGCACCAGUAGAGUGGCAACCUGGAGAAAAGACAUGGUGAAUGGUGGCUGAAAACAGGAAAGGAAUGCAGUGUCUGUGCCUCCAACUGUUCUGGUUUAAUUUACUUAUCAUUAGAAAACAACACAGACAAAACAUAGCCAGCGUUGACUAGUGGAAAUUAUGAUCAUAGAUGAACAUAGAUGAAUACAUUUGAUCAGGCCGUUUGCAGAGGGAGGCGCAUGCACUGAUUUUCCUGAGCAAUCGUAGCCAGCUUACUUUCUUCACUUUCCUAACGAACCCUUUGAAAUAGAGGACUUCAGAAGCAAUGGGAAAUGGGGCAGGGGCUUGGUCCCCGAAGAGAUGGCUCUGCUCUCUAUGCUAGCGGUUUUUACAAGAGUGCAGGGGAAAUGGGUAAUUGGCCCAGAGUCACACACUCCUGACUCACGAAGUUGCUGUGAUCACUCCUGGCUUCCCCCAAACAAGCACUUCUCUCUCUACUCACUGGAACAAACGGAAGUCUCCAACAGUGGUGAACAGGACCCCUUUCAUCUCGAGGCUUGGCUGAAGCAAGCAGCCAGUAUUCCUGACACACUGAGGUCUCUUGUCUGAUGUCCUCCCGUUGUUGGAUGAAGCUCUGCUUUGAAAAAACUGCCAGGAGCAGGGUAAGAAGUGUGAGCGCUGAGCCUGUCAGAAGCUGAGGUUUCUUUUUUGCACCUCGCCAUGCCGAAUACCUGAACAUUUUUUUUUUUUUUUUUGCAAACGGAACAGUGUACGCUCUCUGUUACCGAUGGUGGAGGAGGGGAGUCUUUCUUUCCCCCCUUCAUACUUGUCUGAUGCCAUUCAGGGUCGCCCCAUCUGGGAUACUAUAGAACGCUGUGCUCCCUCUCCUCAGUGUGCUCUUUGUUCACCGUUACUCCAGAAGACGCACGAAGACAAGUCACACGAAGUAAGAGCAUUCCAGGCUUGGAUGGCUGUGUAGGCCAGAGCUUUCAUGACUUCAAAGGAAAAGUUGAUCCUUACUGGGUGCUGCAGCACAGAGUCCUAGAAACAAACAAACAAACAAACAAAAGACUGAGUGGCUGCCUCCUCUUCAGUGAGAUUCCAUUAACCUUAAUACCAACCUAAGUAACAAUGACAGCAGCAAAAGAAUUUGUGGUCGCUUUAGCAAACAGACAAUGCAAAAGAGACAUUACUCUGAAGAGAACUGCUCCUCCGAAUCCUGAUCUAGAAAGCCCUCACAGGACAGGUUAAGCCUUCCUUUGGGUGAGAGACUCUCCUAUUGGAACUGAUAAAAUACUCAGUCAUGUUGGAGAAGUCCGUGUGGAAGAAACUAAAACGCCUUAAGAAUUGUGACUGGCUUCUUAGACUUAGGCUAUGGCCUCCAAUGGACAGAUAGCAAAGCAAGAAAAAAAUCCACGAGAAACAGACCUUCACCAACAACCUGCGCGAGCACCAGCCAAGCCCGCAGAAGAAAUGACUGCAGUCUGAUGCACUGGGGCGACGUCCCAGCUAAGGUUUGCCACGCUUGGACUUCAAACCUACAGAGUGAGGUUGAUGUUAUCUCAAGUGGCUUCACUUGGCAAUUCUUUGUUUCACAACAAUAAAGAAUGAGUACAUCUUCUAUAAGUUGUUUCUCCAUGUUUACAACCUGUCAUUUUUGUGGGAUUGCAUUGUCUUAAACUGGGGCACAAUGAGGUGAAAGGAGUGUCCCAUUGCCGUACACCGGUAAGAAAUGCAGCCAAGUUUUGAACCCAAGACUUCUGGCUCCAGAGUCUGUAAC
RNAcentral lists this small RNA (1962 nucleotides) under Rattus norvegicus (Norway rat). RNAcentral describes it as "uncharacterized LOC102555382". Lineage: Eukaryota; Metazoa; Chordata; Mammalia; Rodentia; Muridae. The record is from RNAcentral.